AUAAUCUCAGAAACUGAAAUUUUAUGAACAGUAUAACAGAUUUGACAAAUUAUCAGUUAACUCCAGAUGAAAUUAAACGACGUCACGUCAUUCAUAAGUCAAAAAAUGCAGAAAUUGCAAAAUUAGAACUUAUUGAAAAAUAUCAUCCAAGUCUUAAAAGUA
Molecule: long non-coding RNA, 162 nt
Organism: Centruroides sculpturatus (bark scorpion)
Lineage: Eukaryota; Metazoa; Arthropoda; Arachnida; Scorpiones; Buthidae
Exons: 3
Source: RefSeq, a predicted model, not a curated record